GGUUAAUAUUCCCAAACCAGGACAUGGUGGUGGACGACAAUGUUAGGAAAUCUAGAGAUGUCAUUGGGGGCCUGGUAAGAGUUAUCUUUUCUUUUUAACGACUUUCCCACCCUGAAAUCAGUUCAACCAGAGAUAGGGUCCAACAUCUAAAAGAGCACCACAUGUCUUGUGGUGUUUGGUUCCCCCUUGGUGGCCAUUGUAAAUAUGGUGAACCGAGUGCCAUCCAUGCCCGAUUGAACUCAUAUGUGCCUCCUU
Picea glauca (white spruce) is the source of this 255-nucleotide non-coding RNA. NCBI's taxonomy places the organism in Eukaryota, Viridiplantae, Streptophyta, Pinopsida, Pinales, Pinaceae. The record is from Rfam.